UUUUUUCUGCUCAGUGACUGCAAGCCAAGGAGUGAGGGCUCAGAAGAAACCAAAUCUGUCAACAUCUUGAUCUGGGACUCCUGGCCUCCAGACUGUGGGAAGAUAAAUUUAUGUUGGCCUUUGGUAACUUAUUAUGGCAGCCCGAGCUGACUACCACAGGAGGGGUCUCUGAGCUACCUGGAGGGAGAAGGGUCUGCACCUGGAGACUCCCACCUAAGAUAGGGGUUUAGAUGAGACCACUCUGGGAGGACACGCGGCCGAAUGUGGAGGCCCCACAGCCGAAUGUGGAGGCCCCGAGGAAGAUCAGCUCUGAAGACACAGGCAGGCAAAGGGCAGACCUCGAAGGAGAUGGAGGAGGAAUGACAGAGGGCAAGAAGAAUCAGGUGAGGGACUGCCACAAAAGCCAGUGACAAAAACUUCCAGAAGAGCUGUCAACAGUACCAAACAAAGCAGAAGAGUCUCAUAAGAUUAAAAAUAAAAUUUGCUUCCAUAAUCUGGUGACUGUCAGGGCACAAUGAGCCAAGGAAAAAACAGUUUUCCUGUACUGGUGAGAGCAGAAAGCAGAUUCCAGAGGACUGGAAGUUCUUAAGAGCUGUGGGAAUGGAGACAAGAAGUGUUUUGAUAAUUAGAUGAGGGUGCAGCAGUUUAAAGGAGAGAUUAUUAAGGAUAGGAGAGGCUGGGUGUGAUGGCUCG
This 693-nucleotide long non-coding RNA is filed under the name Pan troglodytes (chimpanzee). Its description in RNAcentral is "long non-coding RNA NONPTRT017880". The record is from RNAcentral. Lineage: Eukaryota; Metazoa; Chordata; Mammalia; Primates; Hominidae.